Molecule: ribosomal RNA, 910 nt
Filed under: uncultured bacterium
Lineage: Bacteria
Description: bacterial SSU rRNA
Rfam family: Bacterial small subunit ribosomal RNA
Source: RNAcentral
AGUUUGAUCCUGGCUCAGAUUGAACGCUGGCGGCAUGCCUUACACAUGCAAGUCGAACGGCAGCACGGGGGCAACCCUGGUGGCGAGUGGCGAACGGGUGAGUAAUACAUCGGAACGUGUCCUGUAGUGGGGGAUAGCCCGGCGAAAGCCGGAUUAAUACCGCAUACGCUCUACGGAGGAAAGGGGGGGAUCUUAGGACCUCCCGCUACAGGGGCGGCCGAUGGCAGAUUAGCUAGUUGGUGGGGUAAAGGCCUACCAAGGCGACGAUCUGUAGCUGGUCUGAGAGGACGACCAGCCACACUGGGACUGAGACACGGCCCAGACUCCUACGGGAGGCAGCAGUGGGGAAUUUUGGACAAUGGGGGCAACCCUGAUCCAGCAAUGCCGCGCGUGUGAAGAAGGCCUUCGGGUUGUAAAGCACUUUUGUCCGGAAAGAAAACGCCGUGGUUAAUACCCGUGGCGGAUGACGGUACCGGAAGAAUAAGCACCGGCUAACUACGUGCCAGCAGCCGUGGUAAUACGUAGGGUGCAAGCGUUAAUCGGAAUUACUGGGCGUAAAGCGUGCGCAGGCGGUCCGCUAAGACAGAUGUGAAAUCCCCGGGCUUAACCUGGGAACUGCAUUUGUGACUGGCGGGCUAGAGUAUGGCAGAGGGGGGUAGAAUUCCACGUGUAGCAGUGAAAUGCGUAGAGAUGUGGAGGAAUACCGAUGGCGAAGGCAGCCCCCUGGGCCAAUACUGACGCUCAUGCACGAAAGCGUGGGGAGCAAACAGGAUUAGAUACCCUGGUAGUCCACGCCCUAAACGAUGUCAACUAGUUGUCGGGUCUUCAUUGACUUGGUAACGUAGCUAACGCGUGAAGUUGACCGCCUGGGGAGUACGGUCGCAAGAUUAAAACUCAAAGGAAUUGACGG